This 1513-nucleotide ribosomal RNA is filed under the name metagenome. RNAcentral describes it as "bacterial SSU rRNA". It matches the Rfam family "Bacterial small subunit ribosomal RNA". The record is from RNAcentral.
AGAAUUUGAUCUUGGUUCAGAUUGAAUGCUGACGGCGUGGAUGAGGCAUGCAAGUCGUACGAAGUUAUUAGAGCUUGCUCUAAUAAUUUAGUGGCGGAAGGGUUAGUAAUACAUGAGUAACCUGCCUUAAACAUCGGGAUAACAAGUGGAAACGCUUGCUAAUACUGAAUAAGGUGUACUUAAGGAUCUUAGGUAUAUCAAAGCGGGGGAUCUUCGGACCUUGCGGUUUAAGAGGGGCUCAUGGGAUAUCAGCUUGUUGGUGAGGUAAAAGCUCACCAAGGCUAAGACGUCUAGGCGGGUUGAGAGAUUGACCGCCAACACUGGGACUGAGACACUGCCCAGACUCCUACGGGAGGCUGCAGUCGAGAAUCAUUCGCAAUGGACGAAAGUCUGACGAUGCGACGCCGUGUGAGCGAUGAAGGCCUUAGGGUUGUAAGGCUCUUUCGCUUGGGAACAAGGGAUGCAUAUUAAUAGUGUGUAAACUUGAGGGUACCAGGUAAAGAAGCACCGGCUAACUCCGUGCCAGCAGCUGCGGUAAUACGGAGGGUGCAAGCAUUAAUCGGAUUUAUUGGGCGUAAAGGGCGUGUAGGCGGAGAAGAAAGUCAGAUGUGAAAGCCCAGAGCUUAACUCUGGAAUAGCAUUUGAAACUUCUUUUCUUGAGAUUAAGUGGGGGAAGCAGAAUUCCACAUGUAGCGGUGAAAUGCGUAGAUAUGUGGAAGAAUACCCGUGGCGAAAGCGGCUUCCUAACUUAUUUCUGACGCUGAGGCGCGAAAGCAAGGGGAGCGAACAGGAUUAGAUACCCUGGUAGUCCUUGCCGUAAACGAUGUAUACUUGAUGUAGCUGGAAUCAACCCCAGCUGUGUCGUAGCUAACGCGUUAAGUAUACCGCCUGGGGAGUACGCUCGCAAGGGUGAAACUCAAAAGAAUUGACGGGGGCCCGCACAAGCAGUGGAGCAUGUGGUUUAAUUCGAUGCAACGCGAAGAACCUUACCCAGAUUUGACAUUCAAAGGAUCGGUAUAGAGAUAUACUUUCCCUUAUGGGCCUUUGGACAGGUGCUGCAUGGCUGUCGUCAGCUCGUGCCGUGAGGUGUUGGGUUAAGUCCCGCAACGAGCGCAACCCUUAUCGUCAGUUGCCAACACGUAAUGGUGGGAACUCUGACGAGACUGCCUGGGUUAACCAGGAGGAAGGUGAGGAUGACGUCAAGUCAGCAUGGCCCUUAUAUCUGGGGCUACACACGUGCUACAAUGGUCGGUACAGAAGGCAGCGAAGCCGUGAGGUGGAGCAAAUCCCGAAAUCCGAUCUCAGUUCGAAUUGUAGUCUGCAACUCGACUACAUGAAGUUGGAAUUACUAGUAAUGGCGCGUCAGCAAUAGCGCCGUGAAUACGUUCCCGGGCCUUGUACACACCGCCCGUCACAUCAUGGAAGUUGGUUUUACCCGAAGUCACUGACUCAACCGCAAGGGGAGAGGUGCCUAAGGUAAGGCUGAUGACUGGGAUGAAGUCGUAACAAGGUA